RNAcentral lists this ribosomal RNA (507 nucleotides) under Calliptamus barbarus. RNAcentral's name for it is "partial 16S ribosomal RNA". It matches the Rfam family "Bacterial large subunit ribosomal RNA", at positions 1830 to 2597 of the family's 2925-position model. Lineage: Eukaryota; Metazoa; Arthropoda; Insecta; Orthoptera; Acrididae. The record is from RNAcentral.
GUCCUCUUGAUGAUAUUUUGAGGUCUGGCCUGCUCACUGACAAGGUUUUGAAGAGCCGCGGUAUUUUGACCGUGCAAAGGUAGCAUAAUCAUUAGUCUCUUAAUUAGGGGCUGGAAUGAAUGGCUUGACGAGAAAUCAACUGUCUCUUAAUAAUUUUUAGAAUUUAACUUUUGAGUCAAAAGGCUUAAAUUUUUCUUUAGGACGAGAAGACCCUAUAGAGCUUAACAUUUUAUUUUUAUAUAGUUUUUAGUUGAUCUUUCUAUAUUUAAUGAUAAUGUUUUGUUGGGGUGACAUGAAGAAUAAUUAAACUCUUCAUUAUAAAAUCAUUGAUUUAUGUUUAUCAUGAUCCAUAAUUUAUGAUCAUAAGAUUAAGUUACCUUAGGGAUAACAGCGUAAUUGUUUUCGAGAGCUCAUAUCGACAAAGCAGAUUGCGACCUCGAUGUUGGAUUAAGAAAAAUUUUGGGUGCAGGAGCCCAAUAAUUAGGUCUGUUCGACCUUUAAAUUCUU